RNAcentral lists this ribosomal RNA (201 nucleotides) under uncultured bacterium. RNAcentral describes it as "partial 16S ribosomal RNA". It matches the Rfam family "Bacterial small subunit ribosomal RNA", at positions 524 to 722 of the family's 1533-position model. The record is from RNAcentral.
CACGUAGGGGGCAAGCGUUGUCCGGAUUCAUUGGGCGUAAAGGGUGCGUAGGCGGCGCGGUAAGUCGGAUGUGAAAUCCCGAAGCUCAACUUCGGGCGUGCAUCCGAAACUGCCCGACUAGAGGUAGGUAGGGAGAUCGGAAUCCGUGGUGUAGCGGUGAAAUGCGGCAGAAUAAUCAGGAGGAACACCGGUGGCGAAGGC